CUGGAAAUGCUGAGAAUGGAGAUGGAACCCCAAUUUCUCCGCCAACUCAGAGGCCAUUGCUUAGGCUGCCCUGGGAGACUUGCUCGUCUUUGAAACCAUGAGCCUCUUAUGGACAAGAGAAGCCCUGUCACGAGCUUUAACACAAUGGAACCAGCUUAUUCUUGAGGUAGUGAGUUUCCUGUCUCUGGAUGUAUUUAAGCAAAGACUGAACAGUCACCUAGCAGGGUUAAGGCACCAUUGUGCUGAGAGCACAACUCACCACUGUCGCCUGCCCUCAGCCUCUCCCAACCAAAAACCACGAGUACCUCGAGACAAAUACAUUAUGGAGACAACUGUCAUCACAACCACAUGUGGUAUUAUUUACUCACGUCAGUUUGAAUGAUUAAUGUGGAAAAGUGGCUGGGCAGCUAAUGAGAUUGAGGGCCGUGUAGAACAAUUUCUAUGUGAUUUUAAACAAUGCCCACUCUGUCCGUGGAGAGUCACAGAAACAUGAAUAGCUGGCGCGGCUGCCUCCUCUCUCUGCUGACUCCCUGUCUCAGCUGGGUCCUCCCAGCACACUCCCUACUCCCAGAGACUCCAAAUUUUCCAUCUGCAGCCAAGGAAGAGAAAGCAAGGACCCUUUCUAUUUCAGCAGCCUGGAGCUGUGGGCAGUGGCGGCCAUCUGGCUGACGUCAUUGGUGACUCCUCAGACAGCCAGAGGACAGAUGAGACUUAGGGGGCCUUGCGAGAGAGUGAGGAUUGUUGGCCGCUCUUUGCCUUCUUUAAUGAGUGGCUGCGUAGACAAGGUUAUAAACCAAAUGAUGCUUCAUUCUUCAGAGAAACAGCAUGGAAGCGGAAGAGUUUGAAAAAGAACAAGGUGCUACAAACAAGUCAGGAAUUUGUUCUGCAGGCCUGUCAAGUCUAUAAAUAUCUAGAAUCCUGCUUACCAAGUAUUGGUGUGAGGUAUGUCUCCAGGGUUGAUGAUGAAACCGAUGCUCACAGAGUUGAAAUAAGCUGCUGAAGGUCAUGCAGUGACAAUGGGAAGGAGGAAAUAACCUGAGAGAGUGCACACCAAUCAUUUCAACGGCAAAAUCCAAAAGUGGCACACAUCGUUUCAGAUCCCAUCCCAUUGGUUGGGACAUAGUCACUGGUUUCACCUAGCUGCAAGAAAGGAUGGAAAAUGAAGUCGUUACCUGGACAGCUGAGCCAUGUGCUCAGCUAAAACUGAGAAAAGGGAUUUGGGGGCACAGUUAGCAAUCUGCCACAGCUUCCAACGAAGGUCUUGGAAUCCAGAAGGUUGGCAAUCCAGAAGAGCAUUGUACAGCUGCCCCUUCAUUCUAUAAUUCCUGUCUCACUCAACUUUGAGCCUUUGAGAUGUAAGCAUUGGAAACGUUAGAGUCAGAUAGUGAAAGCUUUGCUAAUUUGACAAGGAAUGAAGUUUCAUUAAACUUCUAAAUGUGGCAUUUUUAUAGGUUAUGGCCAAACUGAAGUUGGCCAAGCGUGAAUGUCAUUAGCUGCAGUUUUGUUUGUACUCCAUAGUAUGUUGUUCCUCUCUCUCUCUCUUCCUCCCUCUCCUUCUCUACAUUUUCUUUCUGUUUUUGGGACUCUCCUUUUUGCAUCGAUAGGUACUCAAGAAAAAAAUUCAGGGUUUCAGUUGGAAAAAACAAGUUUUAAAGUAGAAUUUUCAACAAGACGCCUAAUGAACAGUGGUCUAUUCGCACAGCUGAACACCCUAUUCACAAAUCUCUUUCUCUUAUAGAUUUGUGAGGAACAGGAGGUUAUAUUCUCUGCAUGGGAUUUUGCUUCUGGGCUAGGGUUGACUGCAAGUUUAUUGGAAUGAGCACUACAUUUUGUUUUGUUUUCACCAUAAGGGACUUCUGCAAGGAGCCGCAGUGCUCAUCACGUGCUGUGAGGAAAAUGGAGAGAGUUUGCAGAACAGUUCUCUCCCUUCAUUCAAAAUUAGGUUCAAGCUGAGAACCGCUGGUGAUUUUUCAAGUCCUGUUUUGGAUGAAAUAAGCAGACAUGUUUGAAUUAAUUAAUGUUGUAAGGCGACUCUUAGCACUGAGACUGAGCUAGUGCCUGAUAGAAGGAGCGCUGAGCCAGGAAUCACAAAACCCCUGUCCUAGCUUUGGCAUCGCCACCAACUCCUUGUAGGACUAUGAACAAAUCGCCAACAUUUCUGUGCCUUCGUUCCCCACUUACAUAAAUACAGAGAUAUUUGCACUUCUAGAAGAAGAAUGGUUGUGUCGAUACUCUGGUGUGACUUUGUUAUGAUAACACAGGAAGACUGAGGUGCAGUGGGCCCUUGCGAAUCAUCCUCCCCUCCAUGAACCAGGUGGAAUAGACCAUUCCCUUCUCAGAGACCCCUGGACCCUACAUCCUAGUACCCUAUACUAUAAGUCCUGCAAUAUUUGGUGGCUUAUAUUUUAUUUAUGGGUCUGCUUUCCCAUGGGCUUCUUAAAGAGUGUGCAUUUCUCAUUUGAUCGCUACAGUGCCUACUACUGUGGUUGGCACUUGAUAUUGGAUAAAUGAAUGAAAUAAAGCACACCCAAAGUUAGAUGGCUGGUCAGGGGCUGGUUAGUGGCUGGUUAGGGCUGGGUCAAGUCUGGUUACUCCCAGACCAGUCUUUUGCAUAUUUGACCUCUCCCUACUCUCAAGAAUAAGGGUGAAAUAGGAUAUCAAACGUAAGAAGUGCUCACGUUCUGGAGAUUCCGGUGCAGGAGAGGAGUGGUUUCCUCUGCUCAGGCUUGUUCUGCUAUUUCAGCCUCUUGGUCCUUAAUGAUGGUUUAUUCUCAUAGCACACUUCUCUCUCUCGUUUACCUCAAGAAUCUCUGCUUGGGAUAGAGGUGAGCAGAGGUUGGGCAGAGGUGCCUCAAGCCAAACCAAGGA
Molecule: long non-coding RNA, 2868 nt
Organism: Equus asinus (donkey)
Lineage: Eukaryota; Metazoa; Chordata; Mammalia; Perissodactyla; Equidae
Source: Ensembl